Molecule: non-coding RNA, 65 nt
Organism: Dipodomys ordii (Ord's kangaroo rat)
Lineage: Eukaryota; Metazoa; Chordata; Mammalia; Rodentia; Heteromyidae
Source: Rfam
GGUGGCUCAGUGGUAGAGCAUUUGCCUUGCAUGCAUGAGGCCCUGGGUUCGAUUCCUCAGUACCA